AAGUGCCUAAAGAUUGGAAACAUCUUUACCACAUAGACAGCCAGGAGAUAUUGAUAUAAUGGCGUACUUGAGAUCUCUUAUUGUUACUUGCUCUUGUUGACAAUUUGCCCUCGAGUUACAUCAUAACUUCAGAAGGAGAAAAUGUAGUGUCUUGAACAAAUUGAGAUUAAUAGCCAUGUUGGGAUGCAUCUGAUGUAUAACUGCUCCAAUCCAAAAGCGAAUUUUGGGAAAGCAAAUUCCAACCAAAUUCCGCCAUGUCAGUUUUGUAAUGUUUUACCG
This 279-nucleotide long non-coding RNA is filed under the name Rosa chinensis. RNAcentral describes it as "sRNA RchiOBHm_Chr6g0248091". The record is from RNAcentral. Lineage: Eukaryota; Viridiplantae; Streptophyta; Magnoliopsida; Rosales; Rosaceae.